Molecule: ribosomal RNA, 791 nt
Filed under: uncultured Acidobacteriota bacterium
Lineage: Bacteria; Pseudomonadati; Acidobacteriota
Description: bacterial SSU rRNA
Rfam family: Bacterial small subunit ribosomal RNA
Source: RNAcentral
CAAGUCGAACGCGAAAGGGGCUUCGGCCCUGAGUAGAGUGGCGAACGGGUGAGUAACGCGUGGGUGAUCUACCUUCGAGUGGGGGAUAACGUUCCGAAAGGAGCGCUAAUACCGCAUGAUGUUCUGGGUUUAAAGACCUGGAAACCAAAGCCGGGGACCGCAAGGCCUGGCGCUUGAAGAGGAGCCCGCGUCCGAUUAGCUAGUUGGCGGGGUAACGGCCCACCAAGGCGACGAUCGGUAGCCGGCCUGAGAGGGCGGACGGCCACACUGGAACUGAGACACGGUCCAGACUCCUACGGGAGGCAGCAGUGGGGAAUUGUUCACAAUGGGCGCAAGCCUGAUGACGCAACGCCGCGUGGGGGAUGAAGGUCUUCGGAUUGUAAACCCCUGUCGAACGGGACGAAAGACUCGGGAGCUAAUCAUCCCGAGAGUGACGGUACCGUUAAAGGAAGCCACGGCUAACUCUGUGCCAGCAGCCGCGGUAAUACAGAGGUGGCAAGCGUUGUUCGGAAUUACUGGGCGUAAAGGGCGCGUAGGCGGCCCACUAAGUCAGACGUGAAAUCCCCCGGCUUAACCUGGGAACUGCGUCUGAUACUGGAGGGCUUGAGUAUGGGAGAGGGAUGUAGAAUUCCAGGUGUAGCGGUGAAAUGCGUAGAUAUCUGGAGGAAUACCGGUGGCGAAGGCGGCAUCCUGGACCAUUACUGACGCUGAGGCGCGAAAGCUAGGGGAGCAAACGGGAUUAGAUACCCCGGUAGUCCUAGCCCUAAACGAUGAAUGCUUGGUGUGGCGGG